CUUAGCACUGACCAGUGGGUGCACCUCUGGUGUCACAUGAGGAGGAGAGGUUGAAGUGUCCUCUCCCACUGAUCUAUCCCACUGAUCUAUCCUAUCAGGCUUGGACUUUAACUGCAAAGUUAUUAGGUCUACACAGAAUGGAUUGUAAGAUACAACAGACUUCUUAUGAUGCAGUUAUGCUUGGAAAUCUUUUCUUCAGGUCUGAAAAUGCGUAGUAAAAUCUGAAUGCUUAUAAUGCAGCUUUUUUACCUAAAAUGUAUACAUGUUGAGAUCCCAUCUGAAUUCAGUCGAGCUGAAAUUUUGAAGGAGGCAAAAAAAUCAAGUUUACCUCACUCUGGAGCUCCAGCAAGGAGGUGAUGCAGACCUUCUAGACAAAUCCCACAGCCACGUGUAAUAUUUUAAAUUAUUUAACUUAGCAAUUUUCUUGUAUUUUUAUUGAACUUAUCAAAAGAAUAAAGAGGCAGAAAAAUGACUUUUGGAUUUUUGAUUUUAAUUAUGUUAGAUUAAAAUGUAGUAAGGGAUACAGGAUUAUCUCCUCCUUUAUAAGGAAGAAAUUUUUACUUUUCAGCCAUUGUCUCUUUCCUUGUCAGCUGCCGUCAGAGUUAUUUGUAAAUCCAGGAACAAACUGAGAAAUGUAUUGCUGUACUUCAUGGACAUCUAAAUGAAGGCCUUGUCUUCUCACGGGUCCAUGAGGUUGCAGCAGAGCCAUGAAACCACAUUUCUACACAGUACAGGCACAGAUCUCAGCUAUAUCAUGUUCCCAACCCUCUCUCUUUGGAAGCCUGAAGAAAUAAAGGUGCUUGCAGCAUGACAGACAGAAAAACUGGUUCAGGCAAGUCAGAAGCUGUGGAAGAAACAGAAAGAGAGAAGUGGAGCCAGAAAGUCUCAAAAAAGGACAUUUUUCACGGAUUUUUUUGGAUGACUGUAUCAGUUUUGAGCACCUUGGAAAAAGCAAUUUUUUUCACUCCUGGCAUAUCGUGUUUGUUCAAAUGGAGCCAUUAAAAGCGUGGGCAUAAUAGUUCGUGAGGCAGCUUGUGACCCAUACUACUUUCUCUUGCCUUCUUCACCCUAGUUAAACUUUAAAAGCUUCCCACAUUAUUCUCAAAUGCUUCUUGCAGGUAAGAUGAUAAAUGCAGCAAAUUGCCUCCUGUUAGCAGGUGAAUUACAGGAUCUCCCUCCUGAAAGAAAUAACAAGCAUUUUCUGUACAGGGCAACAGUUUGUUUUCGUUGAACUUGAAAUGGAAAAUGUGGACAAAUUCUGCAAACUCUUUUGAGAAAAUGAAGAACUGAGUGUUUCUCUCUGUAUGAAGAAAAGCUGUCACACUAUGCCAAGCACACAAGUGAAAAAAUUAGUGAUAAACAGUUAGGACUAUAUCUUCAAGAGAAUUGUAACCAACGUACAUGUAGAAAAUAAAGUAUGAAAAUAUAUAGUGUUACA
RNAcentral lists this long non-coding RNA (1438 nucleotides) under Numida meleagris (helmeted guineafowl). RNAcentral describes it as "lncRNA (ENSNMEG00000020156.1)". The record is from RNAcentral. Lineage: Eukaryota; Metazoa; Chordata; Aves; Galliformes; Numididae.